CCCUUAGAUGUCCUGGGCCGCACGCGUGCUACACUGACACUUACACCGAGUUUUUCCAAUGCCGAAAGGCCAUUGGUAAUCAGCAAUAAGUGUCGUGAUGGGGAUAGAUCUUUGGAAUUAUUGAUCUUGAACGAGGAAUGCCUAGUAAUCGUAGGUCAUCAGCCUGCGAUGAUUACGUCCCUGCCCUUUGUACACACCGCCCGUCGCUCCUACCGAUUGAAUGGUCCGGUGAAGCGUUCGGACCGUGGCCUUUGGACGGUUCGCCGUCUGUUGGCUGCGGGAAGUUCGUUAAACCUUAUCAUUUAGAGGAAGGAGAAGUCGUAACA
Molecule: ribosomal RNA, 326 nt
Filed under: uncultured eukaryote
Lineage: Eukaryota
Description: partial 18S ribosomal RNA
Rfam family: Eukaryotic small subunit ribosomal RNA
Source: RNAcentral